Non-coding RNA from Cinara cedri, 310 nucleotides. The record is from the annotation of a GenBank genome assembly. NCBI's taxonomy places the organism in Eukaryota, Metazoa, Arthropoda, Insecta, Hemiptera, Aphididae.
ACGGACGCACUCUUUCGUCGCGCCGAACGCAUGCUGAUGAAAACAUCCUCGGGUUUCCGAACCUAUCGACGUCCCCGAACUUCUUUCUAACGUAAACUCUAAGAGUUCCCUCUGUGUUACGCAUCCGAAAUCCCUCUCGUUUUUCCGUACCGACUCCACACGACUCGAUACGGACACAAUCGUCCACCACACCGGGAUUCUCCGUGUUUCUGGCCUCACUUUUAACCAUUCUUCUCUCUCCUAUACUUUAUCGCACGCUCGGUUUUAAUACCGUAAUCCGAUUAUUUGUUUACACGUGAUUUGUUUGUUU